Molecule: ribosomal RNA, 450 nt
Filed under: uncultured bacterium
Lineage: Bacteria
Description: partial 16S ribosomal RNA
Rfam family: Bacterial small subunit ribosomal RNA
Source: RNAcentral
GUGGGGAAUUUUGGACAAUGGGCGCAAGCCUGAUCCAGCAAUGCAGCGUGCUGGAAGAAGGCCUUCGGGUUGUAAACUGCUUUUGUACGGAACGAAAAGGUUCUCUCUAAUACAGGGGGCUGAUGACGGUACCGUAAGAAUAAGCACCGGCUAACUACGUGCCAGCAGCCGCGGUAAUACGUAGGGUGCAAGCGUUAAUCGGAAUUACUGGGCGUAAAGCGUGCGCAGGCGGUGAUGUAAGACAGAUGUGAAAUCCCCGGGCUCAACCUGGGAACUGCAUUUGUGACUGCAUUGCUGGAGUGCGGCAGAGGGGGAUGGAAUUCCGCGUGUAGCAGUGAAAUGCGUAGAUAUGCGGAGGAACACCGAUGGCGAAGGCAAUCCCCUGGGCCUGCACUGACGCUCAUGCACGAAAGCGUGGGGAGCAAACAGGAUUAGAUACCCUAGUAGUCC